UUAGUAAACAGAAGCCUCGGCGGAAGAUUACUAAUGAGAGUGGCGAACGGGUGAGUAACGCGUGAGCAACCUGCCUAUGACAGUGGGAUAGCCUCGGGAAACCGGGAUUAAUACCGCAUAAAAUCGUAGAAACACAUGUUUUAACGGUCAAAGAUUUAUCGGUCAUAGAUGGGCUCGCGUCUGAUUAGCUAGUUGGUGAGAUAACAGCCCACCAAGGCGACGAUCAGUAGCCGGUCUGAGAGGAUGAACGGCCACAUUGGAACUGAGACACGGUCCAAACUCCUACGGGAGGCAGCAGUGGGGAAUAUUGCACAAUGGGGGAAACCCUGAUGCAGCGACGCCGCGUGAACGAAGAAGGUAUUCGUAUCGUAAAGUUCUGUCCUAUGGGAAGAUAAUGACAGUACCAUAGAAGAAAGCUCCGGCUAAAUACGUGCCAGCAGCCGCGGUAAUACGUAUGGAGCGAGCGUUGUCCGGAAUUAUUGGGCGUAAAGGGUACGCAGGCGGUUUAAUAAGUCGAAUGUUAAAGAUCGGGGCUCAACCCCGUAAAGCAUUGGAAACUGAUAAACUUGAGUAGUGGCAGAGGAAAGUGGAAUUCCUAGUGUAGUGGUGAAAUACGUAGAUAUUAGGAGGAAUACCAGUAGCGAAGGCGACUUUCUGGACACAAACUGACGCUGAGGUACGAAAGCGUGGGGAGCAAACAGGAUUAGAUACCUGGUAGUCCACGCCGUAAACGCCGCCUGCUAGGUGUUGGGGUCAAACCUCGGUGCCGAAGUUACACAUUAAGCAUUCCGCCUG
RNAcentral lists this ribosomal RNA (795 nucleotides) under uncultured Clostridia bacterium. Its description in RNAcentral is "bacterial SSU rRNA". It matches the Rfam family "Bacterial small subunit ribosomal RNA", at positions 63 to 875 of the family's 1533-position model. Lineage: Bacteria; Bacillati; Bacillota; Clostridia. The record is from RNAcentral.